AUGAACGCUGGCGGCGUGCCUAAUACAUGCAAGUCGAGCGAACAGACGAGGAGCUUGCUCCUCUGACGUUAGCGGCGGACGGGUGAGUAACACGUGGAUAACCUACCUAUAAGACUGGGAUAACUUCGGGAAACCGGAGCUCAUACCGGAUAAUAUAUUGAACCGCAUGGUUCCAUAGUGAAAGACGGUUUUGCUGUCACUUAUAGAUGGAUCCGCGCCGCAUUAGCUAGUUGGUAAGGUAACGGCUUACCAAGGCGACGAUGCGUAGCCGACCUGAGAGGGUGAUCGGCCACACUGGAACUGAGACACGGUCCAGACUCCUACGGGAGGCAGCAGUAGGGAAUCUUCCGCAAAGGGCGAAAGCCUGACGGAGCAACGCCGCGUGAGUGAUGAAGGUCUUCGGAUCGUAAAACUCUGUUAUUAGGGAAGAACAAAUGUGUAAGUAAAUAUGCACGUCUUGACGGUACCUAAUCAGAAAGCCACGGCUAACUACGUG
Molecule: ribosomal RNA, 496 nt
Filed under: uncultured bacterium
Lineage: Bacteria
Description: partial 16S ribosomal RNA
Rfam family: Bacterial small subunit ribosomal RNA
Source: RNAcentral